Molecule: ribosomal RNA, 381 nt
Filed under: uncultured eukaryote
Lineage: Eukaryota
Description: partial 18S ribosomal RNA
Rfam family: Eukaryotic small subunit ribosomal RNA
Source: RNAcentral
CAAUAGCGUAUAUUAAAGCUGUUGCGGUUAAAAAGCUCGUAGUUGGAUUUCUGUCAAGGACAACUGGUCCGCCCUCCGGGUGAGCACAUAGUUUGGUCUUGGCAUCUCGCUGGAAACUGUUGCUGCACUUGACUGUGUGGCGCAGCGUCCAGCACUUUCACUUUGAGGAAAUUGGAGUGUUUCAAGCAGGCACAUGCCUUUGGACACAGUAGCAUGGAAUAAUUAGAUUGGGCUUUUGCUCCAAUUUGUCGGUUUCUGGAGCUGAGGUGAGAAUUAAUGGGGAUUGUUGGGGGCAUCCGAAUUUAGCCGUCAGAGGUGAAAUUCUUGGAUCUGCUAAAGACGGACAACUGCGAAAGCGUUUGCCAAGGAUGUUUUCAUUGA